AGAGUUUGAUUAUGGCUCAGGAUGAACGCUAGCGGCAGGCUAACACAUGCAAGUCGAGGGGCAGCGGGAUGUAGCAAUACAUUGCCGGCGACCGGCGGAUGGGUGCGUAACGCGUAUGCAACCUACCUUAUACAGGGGAAUAACCUUUCGAAAGGGAGACUAACACCCCAUGGUAUUGAUUUAAGGCAUCUUAGAUUAAUUAAAUAUUUAUAGGUAUAAGAUGGGCAUGCGUAUGAUUAGCUAGUUGGUAAGGUAACGGCUUACCAAGGCGACGAUCAUUAGGGGUUCUGAGAGGAAGGUCCCCCACACUGGUACUGAGACACGGACCAGACUCCUACGGGAGGCAGCAGUGAGGAAUAUUGGUCAAUGGGCGCAAGCCUGAACCAGCCAUGCCGCGUGCAAGGAAGACGGCCUUAUGGGUUGUAAACUGCUUUUACAUAAGACUAACCGUAUAUUUGCGAAUAUACCUGAAUGUAUUAUGAGAAUAAGGAUCGGCUAACUCCGUGCCAGCCGCUGC
This 517-nucleotide ribosomal RNA is filed under the name uncultured bacterium. RNAcentral describes it as "bacterial SSU rRNA". It matches the Rfam family "Bacterial small subunit ribosomal RNA", at positions 8 to 518 of the family's 1533-position model. The record is from RNAcentral.